RNAcentral lists this ribosomal RNA (294 nucleotides) under uncultured bacterium. RNAcentral describes it as "partial 16S ribosomal RNA". It matches the Rfam family "Bacterial small subunit ribosomal RNA", at positions 108 to 406 of the family's 1533-position model. The record is from RNAcentral.
GUGAUACACAUAGGUACCUGCCUCUACCUGAGGAAUGCCCCGCGAAAGCGGGGAUAAUACCUCAUGGUUCCUCCGAUUUCGGAGGGUAAAGAGCAUAACUGCUUGGAUAGAGAUGGGCCUAUGGCUUAUCAGGUAGUUGGUGGGGUAACGGCCUACCAAGCCUAUGACGAGUAGCUGAUCUGAGAGGAUGGUCAGCCAGAGGGGCACUGAGAUACGGGCUCCACUCCUACGGGAGGCAGCAAUCAGGAAUAGUCGGCAAUGGACGAAAGUCUGACCGCGCGACGCCGCGUGUAG